CAGCAGCCACGGGAAUACGGAGGGUGCAAGCGUUAAUCGGAAUUACUGGGCGUAAAGCGCACGCAGGCGGUCUGACAAGUCAGAUGUGAAAUCCCCGGGCUUAACCUGGGAACUGCAUUUGAAACUGUCAGGUUGGAGUCUUGUAGAGGGGGGUGGAAUUCCAGGUGUAGCGGUGAAAUGCGUAGAGAUCUGGAGGAAUACCGGUGGCGAAGGCGGCCCCCUGGACAAAGACUGACGCUCAGGUGCGAAAGCGUGGGGAGCAAACAGGAUUAGAUACCCGGGUAGUCCCUGUCUCUUAUAC
This 301-nucleotide ribosomal RNA is filed under the name uncultured bacterium. Its description in RNAcentral is "partial 16S ribosomal RNA". It matches the Rfam family "Bacterial small subunit ribosomal RNA", at positions 509 to 807 of the family's 1533-position model. The record is from RNAcentral.